CCUCAUUUCUCACACCCAUACAGUUACUUCCCACAAAACAGAAGUGAAGUCCUGUGUAAUCAUUGAACGCAGGGCGCCCUGCGGGGAGCAAACAGUGCUCCUGGACCCACCCCAAGCACACCUCACUGAGCCCCUCUCGGGGCCAUUCCUGACUGCCAUCGAGGUGUCUGAGAGGUGCUCCAUUGUGGACGUGGUGUUCCGCCAUGAGAACUCACUGCACAGAUGUCCUUGCCGCUGCACACAUGGGACAUCCCACAGAACCUCACUGGUGACAGCCCAGGGCGUGGACAAUGCAAAUGGCUACUAAGAAGGAGCUGAAUGAAUACAUCGUGAGAAGUCCCUUUCGACAGACGUUCCUCUACCGCCAUGAAAGGAGGAAAAAUGGUCCCAGCCCUAGGACACAGUUGAGGCACAGAGGGAGGAAAUGACCUGCCCAAGGCCACACAGCAAGGAAGCGAUGCCUGAAUGAACAGCAUGAAGACAGACGGGCCUGUGGCAGAGUUUCCAGGGCCAGGAGUUAAUUCCUCUUGCAGACAGACACCCAUGUGGGCACCCUCCGCCCCACUGGCACCCUGCUGAGGAAUGCCUGACCUGCUUUCUCUCCUUUGGGAGGACUCCAGGAAUGUCGUCCUUUGGGCCCCGGAAGGAGGAACGAAGGAAUCGGAGGCUGUCCCAUCCCCGUUUGAUAAUGAGAACAUGCUAAAACUCAGUGUGGGGAUGGCGGCAGAACUCUCGCUACUGAAAGCCACUGAUGGAACUGUACCCUGGAGACGGGGAUCGUAUGGUACGGGAAUGAGAUCUCAAAAAAGCUGUUUUUUUAAACAACAACAACAAAAGACUUGGGUGGGUGGGUUACUCUCAAGGCUGAGGAUUCAGGCGUCAGUGUUGGCUGAGACCCUGCCUCACUGCAUGGCCAUGGGCAUCUCAUCUCCCAGAGCCUCAGCUUCCUUAUCUGUAAAAUGGGCACAUCAAUGGUGACCCAUCUGCUACGGCUGAGGGAAGAGAAGAUGAAGGAGACGCUUGCAGCUGGAGCCUGCCAUACAAGGGCUUCAUAGACAUGAGUCACUCGACGUUAGACUCUGGAUGUGCCUCUUCCUACCCGCUUCUCCCUUGAACUGCAGAAGCCGCAAGAACGCCCGUUCCAGGAAUGAGGCAAUUCCUUGAAAUCUGAAAAGACCACGGCGCAGGCUUUCCUGGCUUGGGAACGGAACAAAAGCCUUCACUGUUGUCCCAGCUCCGGAUCCUAAACUCAUGCCAGCCUUGUAUUCCCCAGAUCCAGAGGCCCUCGUCCAUCAUUUCUAGUUUCGAGAUACCAAAUGACCUCAGCGAUGUGCAAGGGGAUCCUCACCACCACGGCCACUGGGGGCCCUCGAAUGCAGGCCCCCCGCCCCCAUCCCCACUGCUCCUGCUAGCUUUGGGGACCUCAGAGAAGGCAAAGAGAAGCUGGCACUGACCCUGCAAAAUAAUCCAGCGCGGGUGGGAUGGGGUAGUGGGGGGACCCCACAAAGAAGCGAGUGUGCGAGGAGCCCGUCUAUGUACAAUGGCCCCUCAGAAACCUGUCCCCGGGGAAAACAGAGGAUCUCUAUUGGCAUGGCCUAAGAAAGAAAUGUCUGUAUUCUUUUAGGACCUGCCCCCACAGGCUCCAGGCCAAGAAUGCGCAGCACAGCAUCUUAUUAGGUUUCUAAAAUUAUGCCUAGGUUGGGGGGUUGGCCAGGCCAAGGAGCGGGAAAGGAUGUGGUGGGCGGGCAGGCAGGCAGGAAAUCUUUAAUCCGGCUCUUUGCGCACUCUGGGCAGCGGGAAGGGAGUGCCGCUCCAGCAGAUGUCAGGUCGGCCCUGAGAAUCAAAAGCCCUUCUGUGCACAGCCUGGGCGCUCAACUGUGUUUAAACAUUGCUACAGUGCCUUCCCAGAUUGCCCAAGUUUCCCUUGGAUGGAGGGAGUUGGGGGCAGUGGGAUGGUGUCCUUGGGCAGCACAAUUUAAGGAGCAAAUGAAAGAAAGCAGCUCCUGGUGGUUAAAAUCUAGGCAUAGGAACAAGGUUGCUGGAUAGGGUUGUGCAGGCUGUGCACUGCACAACUGCAAAGGGUUGUAUUUUCAAAUAUGGAGCAGCACUGUGUGCAACCUGUACAACCAUUCAAGGUGGCCCAUGAUGUACCAGAAGGAGGAACAGCUGGCUCAUGAGGCCAGGGUCUCACUCUUGGGUAGAGUUGGGAGGAUGUGAAUUGGUGGGCAGUUUGUAUGUGGGGACAGACCAAUGCCUCAUCACAAAUGACAAUGCAGACUGAAAUACUUUGACACCCCUCCCUACCCAGUACACACAAGUAACUAAAUCUAAGGGGGAGGAGGAGGAAGGAAAAGCCAAGGGGGUAGGAGCUGUCCUACAUCCCAGAUAUAGUUAACAGAAAACAACAGAACUGUCAGUUAA
Ailuropoda melanoleuca (giant panda) is the source of this 2421-nucleotide long non-coding RNA. RefSeq lists it as uncharacterized. The transcript is spliced from 4 exons. The record is from RefSeq and is a predicted model, not a curated record. NCBI's taxonomy places the organism in Eukaryota, Metazoa, Chordata, Mammalia, Carnivora, Ursidae.